This 3946-nucleotide long non-coding RNA is filed under the name Rattus norvegicus (Norway rat). RNAcentral's name for it is "long non-coding RNA NONRATT033676". The record is from RNAcentral. Lineage: Eukaryota; Metazoa; Chordata; Mammalia; Rodentia; Muridae.
GUCUGUCCGUGUAUCUUCCCUGCACCGGGCAUCCCUCCCAGUCACCAGGCUCAGAGUGGCUUCUUAACAGGAAGUGUGUAAAGGGGUGGGAGGCUGAGUGAAUGGAGGCAGUGUGCUGUCAGAGGGAUCCGGUUGGGGGGAGAGGAGACGGGAGGGUGUUCUGGGUUGGCUGUGGGCUGACUUGCAGGAGAUGCCAGCCCUUGCAGCUCUGUCUCCAGUCUGUAUGAUGGGAAACCUCUCAGACUCCACUCCCGUGUGGUGCCUUCCAGAACAAGAAUAUAAUUUCUAUGACAGGCUGUUUCUUGGUAGUGUUCUCUCCCCUGCAGUUGCUGAGGGACAGGCCCUGGAUUUUCAGGGCUCUAUAUGUUCUGCUGAGGGGCAAGGAUCCAGCAGGGCAGAUUGGAAGGAAGCCUUGCCCCUGCUCUGGUCCCUUGGUCCUCCUCAGCUGAGCUUCAUAUCUUUCCUGGGACUAAGCACAUGGACAGGCCUCGUGUCCAGGAGAGCCCUGGCUCCUACUGCAGCUCCUCCCUGCCCCAAAUCAUUGUCAUGCUCUGCCUGUGGUCCCAUUUCCAUAGCAACUUCUUGUGAUGCCUCUGAGGAGAGCAGGAGCUUCAAAAAGGGUUGGGGGAAGGGAGCUGGAGACCCAGUCAUUGUCUGGGAGCAUGGCAGUGGGGGCUUGAGAAGCACUCAUGGGGAUGGCUUGGUCUGCCAGCUCAGGUGGAACUGGGCUCAGGGCUGCCAGCCAGGUGGUCUGGAGCCUCUUGUAUCCACAGGUCCUGAGGUUCUGGCACCUAUGAGCAAAAAGGUCAACUGAGCCAGACCCCAGCUCAUCCCAGCCCAGCUGCGCCUAACACUACCCAGUCACAGGUAAGAGAACAUUUGUGGGUUAGUGGGGCUUCCAGGGAGGGCUGUCUCAAGGCCCUCUUUCUAUAUGAUUCCAUCUGUCCCUCUCCUCUGCAAUCAAACCCCAGUAGCCCUUGCUGUGGCCAGUCCUGGUCCGUAGCCAGUUCAGAAGCCUAAGGCACUUGUCCCAGCCACAUGGUUUCACAGACAGCGCUGGCUAAUAGGUUCCCAUUUGGUAUGGGGAGUGGGGUUCUCCAAAGGCAAGCUGAAGCAUUCUGCCCUUAGUCCUGUCACAUUGUUGACCAAAUGUGUGCUUGACUCCAGGUCAGGAGGGAGUGGGAAUGUGUGGACGGAGAUAGUCAAUGUCCAAGAAACUGUCAAGAGGCAGCCUUGGCUCUCAUGUGUGGAGUUAAUGGGGCUCUGCAGUUGACAUUUGGGUCCAGACACCUUCAGGGCAGGACAAGGCUCAGACCCUAGGUGUAUUUGUGAUGAGCAUUGUCAGCCAGAUGACCUUAGCUUUGUGUGAAAAUAGCAGAUUGCCUCUUGGUCUGUGCCGCAAGGAACAAGGCAACCAUAGUGUGGGAGGGAGGGGACAGGCUCUCCCAUUCCAUGUCCCAAGUGAGGGGAUGUAUGGAAGCUAUGCUCUAACAGAGGAGAUGGGAGGGGAGCAGACAGGACAGGAAAGGGACCUAGGGUGCUACUUGGCUUGACUGUGGAUUGAUUUGUGACAGAUUAGUCACCUUACACCUGUGUCUGAGCCAGUUUAAGGCUACAGUGGUACUUUGUUACCGUAAUGAAAGCUAGACCAUGCUGCCCUCUGUUCUAGGCUCAGUGGCGGUGCGGGCUCAGAAGAUCCGUUUCUGGGCCUGGGGGACAGCUGUGUGGCUCGGGGAGAAAGUUGUGCAAACAGCACACCCAGUUUUUCUUUUCCAGAUGCUAGGUGUCACUCUGAAGUCCACAUACCCCACCAAAACAGUCCUAAUAAUUGAUUGGUUCUGGAAGGAUUGGUUGCCUGUGGUGGUUACCAGGUGUUGGGCAGGAAGCCUAGAUGGUGGGGCACAGUGUGCUGUGUUCUGCCUCACCCUGGUCAGGAGGCUGCUGCAGUUCCGUCUCUGUCCUGCGGGCGGCAGCACUGACAGGUACAAGAUGGGAUCACUCCAGGAAGUGCAGGGCAGGGGGAGCCUGUCUGAGCUGGGGGCUGGCAAGGCUGGCUGAAGGAGAUGACUCCAGGCCAAGGCUGGAAGCCUGUAGGGUCCUUUAAAAGCCAUCUAUUUUUUUGGUUAUAAAAUGUAAUGUGUGUUCUCAAUAGAAAAAUGCAAGUGCUUGGGUGUUUUGCCCGUCAGUCUUUUACAAAAUAUGUAUUUAUGACAUAAUUGGGAUCAAGCUGUACUUACUGUUUUCUAACCUGCGUUUUGCACUUAAUACUACACCAGGAUCAUUUCCCCACCAUUAAAUACUCUUCUAUAAUGUGAUUUUUAAUGGCAGCAUAAUGUUCCAGCCUGUGUUGCCGUGUCCCAUUUAACUAGUUCUCUAUUGUGUAUUUUGAUGGUUUCCAGUGUUUUGUCACUAUAAUAAAGCGCAGAGGGAGAUCCUGGCAGGAAAGGGCUGAGGUAGAGAGGGCAACAUAGGCUGUAUGGUGGAGGUUGGACACUUGUAUGGUGUUUUGGCUCAGGGAGCUGGGAAGGGGGCUGUUGCCGGCUGUGCCGAGGGGCAGGCUUGGCUUAGUGACCCCCCUGAAAUCCUGAAGAAGCCCAUGGUUUUCCUUUCUCUCCCCUGCCUCUCUGGCUGGUACUUCUCAAAGUGCUCCUGUGUUUGGGAAGGAACAGGGUAGCAGGCUGGAGGAAAUGCAGGCAAGGCUAGGUUACUGUCUUACACCUCUUGGCACGGGGUGGGGUGGGCAUCUGUGGUAUUUCCAUGGGGCCCUCGUGUAGCUGGGGGGAGCCUUGUCCAGUUCUCUUCCUUGCACUGUUCCCCCAGAGGCUGGGACGACACAUGGGUAUGUGUUUGUGGGGAUUCUCAGGGCAGACUGUCUCCUGAGUCACACAUUUAUCCUUACAUGGUGUGUACUACGUCUCCAUGCAUGGUCCCUGGUGUCACUGUUGGCUCAGCGGUUCAUUCCUGUCUCAUUCUCCUGACUGACUCAACACCAGCUGCACAGUAGGUGCAGCCCUUUGUGCCCAUCCUCACACCUGGAGAACCAUGUGCCCCUAUCAGGGACAUGUCAGACAAACCCUAUCCUUGUAGAUCUGCCCUUCAAACAGGACAGACAGGGACAUUUAGAGCAGUUCAGUAGUCAGGCCAGGGAGUGAUAUGUGUUCUAGAGACAAAGAAAGCCAGAGAGAUAACAUGAGAUAGGGUUCCUCCAGUGCUGGAUGGCUGGGACGAGACUCCUGGCAGAGGGUCCUCUGAGCAAAGACCAGGAGGAAGAGUAGAGGCUUGAGGUUCUGAGCAAAGCAGACCCAGAAGUCACUAUGGAGGGGACUCAGUUCUCAGGCUCUGGAUCCCUGGUAGAGACAAGGUGGGUGGGCCAGAGAAGCUGGAAGGCAAGUCUAAAGACCCCAAUCUCAUUUUGGAUUAGUGAUAGCAGGAUUAACUGGGGGGGGGGGUUUGAAGGGGCAUCCACAGGGAGAUGCAGACUCUGGGAAUGUGAGUGAUGGGCACAGCUAACUCAGGACUUGGGUAGGCUGGGAGGAGAAGACAGAAAUGGGAGGUGUUCUAAGGAUGGGCACACAGGGUGGACCUGUGAACGGCAGCUGGAAAGGGCCAAGGCUGCACAUGUAGACAUGUGACUAUUGUCAAGAGCAAGGUGGCUGGGAAAGCCUCAGCACCUAGGAUAGAGCAUUACAGAGGGAUGGGGUGCACUGCCCAGCAGGAGCCCAGCCUUUCGGGCUCCCUGGUGGCAGCCUGCCCUUUUACUGCAGCCCUGUGGAGGAGGGGUUUCAGUCUGGAGAAAUCCCUGCCGGUCCACUCUUCCAGCCAUUCUUCCCCAGGACCUAAUGCUUGGGACUUUCUGUGAUGUUUGUCAGGGCAGGGAGGUGUGCUGAUUGUACUGGGCUCAAUUCUAUUACCGUCAAUUCUAUUACUUCCUGAGACAGAGAGAGAG